GACGACCGGCGCACGGGUGCGUAACGCGUAUAGGACCUACCUUUUACUGGGGAAUAGCCCAGAGAAAUUUGGAUUAAUGCCCCAUGGUAUGCUUAGAUGGCAUCGUUUGAGUAUUAAAGAUUUAUCGGUAAGAGAUGGCUAUGCGUUCUAUUAGCUAGUUGGUAUGGUAACGGCAUACCAGGGCUACGAUAGAUAGGGGUCCUGAGAGGGAGAUCCCCCACACUGGUACUGAGACACGGACCAGACUCCUACGGGAGGCAGCAGUGAGGAAUAUUGGACAAUGGAGGCAACUCUGAUCCAGCCAUGCCGCGUGCAGGAAGACUGCCCUAUGGGUUGUAAACUGCUUUUAUAGAGGAAGAAACCCACUCUCGUGAGGGUGGCUGGCGGUACUCUACGAAUAAGGAUCGGCUAACUCCGUGCCAGCAGCCGCGGUAAUACGGAGGAUCCAAGCGUUAUCCGGAAUCAUUGGGUUUAAAGGGUCCGUAGGCGGGUUUAUAAGUCAGUGGUGAAAGUUUUCGGCUCAACCGAAAAAUUGCCAUUGAUACUGUAGAUCUUGAAUUAUUGUGAAGUGGUUAGAAUAAGUAGUGUAGCGGUGAAAUGCAUAGAUAUUACUUAGAAUACCGAUUGCGAAGGCAGAUCACUAACAAUUAAUUGACGCUAAGGGACGAAAGCGUGGGUAGCGAACAGGAUUAGAUACCCUGGUAGUCCACGCCGUAAACGAUGGUUACUAGCUGUUUGGUUUUCGGACUGAGUGGCUAAGCGAAAGUGAUAAGUAACCCACCUGGGGAGUACGUUCGCAAGAAUGAAACUCAAAGGAAUUGACGGGGGCCCGCACAAGCGGUGGAGCAUGUGGUUUAAUUCGAUGAUACGCGAGGAACCUUACCAGGGCUUAAAUGUAG
RNAcentral lists this ribosomal RNA (899 nucleotides) under uncultured bacterium. RNAcentral describes it as "bacterial SSU rRNA". It matches the Rfam family "Bacterial small subunit ribosomal RNA", at positions 90 to 990 of the family's 1533-position model. The record is from RNAcentral.